GCGGUCGUGGUGAAGUGGUUAACACAACUGGUUGUGGUCCAGUCAUUCCGAGGGUUCGAUUCCCUUCGACCGCCCCA
This 77-nucleotide transfer RNA is filed under the name Erysipelotrichaceae bacterium. Its description in RNAcentral is "tRNA-His". It matches the Rfam family "tRNA". From Rfam's summary of the family: Transfer RNA (tRNA) molecules are approximately 80 nucleotides in length. Their secondary structure includes four short double-helical elements and three loops (D, anti-codon, and T loops). RNAcentral also lists the same sequence under 1 other name. The record is from RNAcentral. Lineage: Bacteria; Bacillati; Bacillota; Erysipelotrichia; Erysipelotrichales; Erysipelotrichaceae.